Molecule: long non-coding RNA, 1035 nt
Organism: Ipomoea triloba (trilobed morning glory)
Lineage: Eukaryota; Viridiplantae; Streptophyta; Magnoliopsida; Solanales; Convolvulaceae
Exons: 2
Source: RefSeq, a predicted model, not a curated record
UGUCUGAAAAAAAAACUUAGCAGAUAGUGGCGGAGGCAAACAAACCCUAGUUGCCUUCAAUCUAAUCUGUAACAGGCUAACAGCCAAAACGUGUGAGAGAGGGAGAGAUGCGCGGAGGCAGAGAGGCCAUCAGGGCCGGGGCCGCAUCAUCGGUCGCCGUUCACGACUGGAGCCUCCAUCACCGCUCGCCGUCACGGCCGGAGGUCUCCCACUACCGCACCGGACUUCGUCGCCGGCAUCGCUAACGAGGAUAGAUCGCGAGCCACCGCCGCACUCUGCUGAAGCGCGAUCUGUCAGAGUUCCACGUCGCGGUCCUUCUGCCGGAGCACCGCGUUUUUACCGAGGUCGGAACGUCGAUCGCACAGAUCAGCCGUCGCACCGGCCUAUUCGCGAAAUAGCGCAGCCACCAUCACCAGACGGAGCCGACCGCAACCCCAAUCCGCGCCGUCCUCUUCGCGACUGUCGCGACCAGCGAGAGUGCUGCCGCUAGGAUACCAUCGCCGAUCACAAAAUAGAUCUAGAUAGAACAUAGAUUGAUCGCUCAGAAUCGUUGCCGCUGGACGCGACUUUACCUCUGGGCUGAGCCACCUGCCGGAUCCACGAUGCGAACGCUCGUGGGAAAGAAGGAACCGGCCACCAACAAUGGAUUUGGCUAAGAAAAACUAUGGUGGCAGAUCGGUCAAAGGAAUGAAAAAUAUGCAAAUUGAUGGACAAAAGCAGAUUCGGUGCUGCUCAAUAAAAUGUUCGUCUCAAACGUUUUUGCCCUUCUCAAAGGCAGAGUGCUCCUUAUACAGGAAGCGAACGGCUCUGCGGCGCUGCGAUUUACACAAAGCAAACGGAGACAACGAGGACGUCGCCGCUACCUCCCUCACGCCGGAGCACAGUCACGAGUCAAGUCAAUAUCAGGUUGACUACAUAUGGUUUGCCUAAAGCAGGUUAUUUUUCUAAAAAUAUUCAUAUAGUUUGAAUACAUAUUUAUAUACAAAAUGUAUUCAGAAUGAUAUACAAAGUACAAACAGCAACCGUGUACACAAA